Carassius gibelio (silver crucian carp) is the source of this 303-nucleotide long non-coding RNA. RefSeq lists it as uncharacterized. The record is from RefSeq and is a predicted model, not a curated record. The transcript is spliced from 3 exons. NCBI's taxonomy places the organism in Eukaryota, Metazoa, Chordata, Actinopteri, Cypriniformes, Cyprinidae.
CGCCGCAUGUGAUGUCCCUAUGAAAAGAGGUGGACACAAGAAUUAUUCCUUUCCCGGUCACAACCGAAGCAUCUCCCAGCCGUAAGCCCCACUACUUAUUCAAGAACACAUACUUGCUGUUGAUUACUUACUCUGCUGUGCAGAUCGCAGGAUCCUCUGGGCCGAAUGCCGCAUGUGAUGUCCCUAUGAAAAGAGGUGGACACAAGAAUUAUUCCUUUCCCGGUCACAACCGAAGCCUCUCCCAGCCGUAAGCCCCAUUACUUAUGCAAGAACACAUACUUACUGUUGAUUACUUACUCUGCU